CCUACGGGUGGCAGCAGUGGGGAAUAUUGGACAAUGGGCGAAAGCCUGAUCCAGCCAUGCCGCGUGUGUGAAGAAGGCCUUCGGGUUGUAAAGCACUUUCAGAGGGGAAGAAAGCCUUGGGGCUAAUACCCUCGAGGAAGGACAUCACCCACAGAAGAAGCACCGGCUAACUCCGUGCCAGCAGCCGCGGUAAUACGGAGGGUGCGAGCGUUAAUCGGAAUUACUGGGCGUAAAGCGCGCGUAGGCGGUCUGAUAAGCCGGUUGUGAAAGCCCCGGGCUCAACCUGGGAACGGCAUCCGGAACUGGCAGGCUAGAGUGCAGGAGAGGAAGGUAGAAUUCCCGGUGUAGCGGUGAAAUGCGUAGAGAUCGGGAGGAAUACCGGUGGCGAAGGCGGCCUUCUGGACUGACACUGACGCUGAGGUGCGAAAGCGUGGGUAGCAAACAGGAUUAGAUACCCCAGUAGUC
This 465-nucleotide ribosomal RNA is filed under the name Vreelandella stevensii. Its description in RNAcentral is "partial 16S ribosomal RNA". It matches the Rfam family "Bacterial small subunit ribosomal RNA", at positions 338 to 795 of the family's 1533-position model. The record is from RNAcentral. Lineage: Bacteria; Pseudomonadati; Pseudomonadota; Gammaproteobacteria; Oceanospirillales; Halomonadaceae.